This 254-nucleotide ribosomal RNA is filed under the name uncultured bacterium. Its description in RNAcentral is "partial 16S ribosomal RNA". It matches the Rfam family "Bacterial small subunit ribosomal RNA", at positions 524 to 776 of the family's 1533-position model. The record is from RNAcentral.
UACGUAGGGGGCAAGCGUUGUCCGGAUUUAUUGGGCGUAAAGAGCGUGUAGGCGGCCAGAUAGGUCCGUUGUGAAAACUGGAGGCUUAACCUCCAGCGGUCGAUGGAAACCAUUUGGCUAGAGUCCGGAAGAGGAGAGUGGAAUUCCUGGUGUAGCGGUGAAAUGCGCAGAUAUCAGGAAGAACACCCGUGGCGAAGGCGGCUCUCUGGGACGGUACUGACGGCUGAGGCACGAAAGCGUGGGGAGCAAACAGG